Long non-coding RNA from Tupaia belangeri chinensis (Chinese tree shrew), 2434 nucleotides. RefSeq lists it as uncharacterized. The record is from RefSeq and is a predicted model, not a curated record. The transcript has 2 exons. NCBI's taxonomy places the organism in Eukaryota, Metazoa, Chordata, Mammalia, Scandentia, Tupaiidae.
CUUUCUCCUUCUCUCCCUCCCUCUUUCUCGCAUAAAAUUUUUUUUAAAGAAUUAUGCUAAAUUUAUUCUGCCUCGGCUCUAUAAAUAGAACAAAGCCCAAAUGACAGCACAUCUGUUUACAGCAUGGUUUACUGAAUAGUUUAAACUUAAUAUUGAGACCUACUGCUCUGGAAUAAAAAAACAUUAUUUCAAAACACGGCUGCUCACUGAAAUACACCGGUCACCCAAACGCUCGGACAGAAACAUGCAAGGUGAGUGUUGUUUCCGUGCCUGGUAACACAGCCUGCAUUCUGCAGCCCAGGGAGCGAGAUGCCAUUUCUAUGUUCGAGUAUUACUGUUUCCAAAACACAUUCUAUAAGCCAGAGCUGCCAUACCUAGAGAGCCCUCUGACGGAUCUGGGAAAAGGAAAUCCCAGAUCCCCCAAGCAGAGCCCCCAUUCUGAUGCCAUUAGUAACAGGCAUGAUUCGUGGGAGGAGAUCGGAAUCUAUAGUCCAGGAGUUGGGGGGGUCAGCUCCAACGCUCGUGAACGACUGGGAAUUCGGACGGCAGAUGUGGACACAGCGAGAGAACUGGAAUUAGACGGGCAGGCUGAGGACGUGCCGGGCUCGCUGCAACCUCAUGGCAGACGUGAAGGGAUAGAGAGCUGCUUCUUAGGAGAAGAAAAGUAGCUCCUUGGCAUCAAACACCCUCCUGGUGCCCAUGCCAUCCACGCUGUCGAGAUGGCAGUGAAGGAGUUGGAGUGCCGCACAGCUCAGCAGGGUCCGAGGGACGAUCGGACUGACGGACUCCAAGGGAAACCCUGCUGUGGGUAAAACCCUGCCGGCGGCAUCGCGUGCUGCAGAGAAGCAGGUCACGGAAGGCAGCAGACCUCCUCGUCGACUCUAGGAAACUGCCACAGCCACCCAGCCCUCGGCAGUCACCACCUCGACCCGUCAGCUGCCAUCGACACCUGGGCAAGACCUUUGCCUGCACGAGGGUGACACCUCGCCCAAGGCUCAGAGGUCACCUGCUGUUCUGAGCGACGAGGUGUGUGCAAGCCAGUGUGCAAGCCGCUCCCAGACAUAUGCUGUCCCACACGGACUACGGCACGGUGUGACCUGACUUACGCACUGGGAAACCCAACCCCACACUCGCGCAACUCGCUCUGCUGUGACUCGGUUAUUGGAGCGGAGCCACAUACCUCCAAGGUAGCCUGGAUGAGCUGCCUGCGGAGGGAGGGCGGGUGGAGGGUAGAGGGCGGCACCCACACACUCGGCCUACCUUACCCAGACUGUCACUUCACAGUCCGUGCACUGGGCUGCACUGUCCCCGACCCCUAUGGGGACAGUGUCAGGAGGUGGGGCCUCUGGGGGGUGAUGAGCUCAGGAGGGUGAGCCCACAGGAGUGGGAGGAGUGCCCUCCUAGAAGGGGCCCCAGAGAGCGGCCUUGCCCUGUGGGCCGCGUGAAGUCGCAGAAAGAAGGACCUCUGUGACCAGGAGGUGGGCCCACAGCAGACACCGGAUCCGAGAGCUCGACCCUGGAGUGCCAGCUCCCGCGUCUGUGGGAAGUCCAUUUCUGCCGUGUGUGCAUCGCUCGGUGGAGGGCAUUUCGUCACGCCAACUGGAACAGCCCGCGCUAAGCCCACAGCCACCCUGCACCGUUGGCACCACCUCACUCUGCAAACAAAGUGACAGGGAGCUCAAGGGUCAGCUCACUUGUCCCACAGUGUCCCAGCCCUGGGUUAAGGCUGACGUCUGAGCCCACGUGUUCUGAGGUCAAAUGUUCCACGUUACUUUGGCCCUCUCAGAGGAUUUCCAGAGCCCAGACCUGUGCUGGGAACUGGAGGCCUAAAAGGUGUCACUUUAGGGGAUUUACGAGUGCCAGAGGGGGUCUAAUAACCACUUCAGACAACUUUACUCAGACCAUCUGAAGGUCAAGGAAUCACAGCAAGCAUGCUCUUUGCAAUGACCUUGCUGAAUGGGUGCUUGCGUUUACCGUGCAGCUGUGGAGCGAAAUCCAGAGGAAUCUGGCCUCGGUUCAGGAGGGCUGUGACCUUCUGUGCUGACAGCACCGUGCCCAGACUUCUGCCCGCGUUCCCCUCACAUCUACUGACCGACGUUCCUGGUUUCUUCAUCCGACCAGCUCAUCCCCUCAGCAGCUACUGCGGGCGAUGGCUCAUCCUGAAACGGCCCCCAUGGCGCAGGGCCCUACGCACUUCCUAUCCAGUCUCACAUUUGGCUUUUGUUUGGGGGCAUUUCCAAAGCAUCAGACAGACCUGCAUCCGCGGCGUGAGUCCGUGCUGCACCAACGGUUCUGCCUGUGGGUGCGAUACAGUUUUUAUUUUCUUACCACCACCAGAGGUUUGUCUGUUACCACAAACCAGUGACACGCUGCUUUACUGAGCGUCUCCCAAACGCAAAAGUGCUGGUUCUCCCAAGAAAGCUUUUGCAUAACA